RNAcentral lists this ribosomal RNA (468 nucleotides) under uncultured bacterium. RNAcentral's name for it is "partial 16S ribosomal RNA". It matches the Rfam family "Bacterial small subunit ribosomal RNA", at positions 28 to 507 of the family's 1533-position model. The record is from RNAcentral.
GACGAACGCUGGCGGCGUGCUUAACACAUGCAAGUCGAACGGAAAGGCCCUGCUUUUGUGGGGUGCUCGAGUGGCGAACGGGUGAGUAACACGUGAGUAACCUGCCCUUGACUUUGGGAUAACUUCAGGAAACUGGGGCUAAUACCGGAUAGGAGCUCCUGCUGCAUGGUGGGGGUUGGAAAGUUUCGGCGGUUGGUGAUGGACUCGCGGCUUAUCAGCUUGUUGGUGGGGUAGUGGAUUACCAAGGCUUUGACGGGUAGCCGGCCUGAGAGGGUGACCGGCCACAUUGGGACUGGGGUACGGGCCAGAGUCCUGCGGGAGGCAGCAGUGGGGAAUAUUGCACAAUGGGCGGAAGCCUGAUGCAGCACCGCCGCGUGCGGGAUGACGGCUUUCGGGUUGUAAACCGCUUUCGCCUGUGAAGAAGAGUGAGUGACGGUAAUGGGUAAAGAAGCACCGGCUAACUACGUG